AGACAACUAGCACCUCUCAUAAAUUUGCACGACUUUGAAAGCAAAGAAUCACCAAACUCGCCAGUGGUAGCUAACAGUUUAGAAGAUCUGAUAACUUUUGAUGGAAGUUUAGACAACUCUGAGCUGACUACUAAUCAAGAUGAUGCGGUGAAGGGAAGUACCGAUGUUUCUGGUGUAGAUAGCAUGAUAUUAGCUAACAUAAAAGUGUUUGCAGAACAAGGGAAUGCUUCUACAGGCCCUGAAGUUUCUAAGAGCAUUUUGAGCUUAGGUAACCAAAAAAAGAAAGUAAAUUAGUGAAGUCUAGUAGUAGUAUUAAUGUAUUAUUAACUUUUGCAAAGUGUUCUGAAAGUUGUCAAGUCUAUCUGCUACAAUGUUUAUGUACAUAGUAUGGCAACUGGACAAGCAAAUGACUCAGUUCCUUUUAAGUUACUAUUUCUGUUGUGUCUCUUGUUUCAA
This 456-nucleotide unclassified non-coding RNA is filed under the name Hevea brasiliensis (rubber tree). The record is from RNAcentral. Lineage: Eukaryota; Viridiplantae; Streptophyta; Magnoliopsida; Malpighiales; Euphorbiaceae.